GAGCGGCGAACGGGUGAGUAACACGUGGGUGAUCUGCCUUGCACUUCGGGAUAAGCCUGGGAAACUGGGUCUAAUACCGGAUAUGACCAUUGGAUGCAUGUCUGGUGGUGGAAAGAUUUAUCGGUGUGAGAUGGGCCCGCGGCCUAUCAGCUUGUUGGUGGGGUAACGGCCUACCAAGGCGACGACGGGUAGCCGACCUGAGAGGGUGACCGGCCACACUGGGACUGAGACACGGCCCAGACUCCUACGGGAGGCAGCAGUGGGGAAUAUUGCACAAUGGGCGGAAGCCUGAUGCAGCGACGCCGCGUGAGGGAUGACGGCCUUCGGGUUGUAAACCUCUUUCGACUCCGACGAAGCGAGAGUGACGGUAGGAGUAGAAGAAGCACCGGCCAACUACGUGCCAGCAGCCGCGGUAAUACGUAGGGUGCGAGCGUUGUCCGGAAUUACUGGGCGUAAAGAGCUUGUAGGCGGUUUGUCGCGUCGUCUGUGAAAACUCACAGCUCAACUGUGAGCUUGCAGGCGA
Molecule: ribosomal RNA, 523 nt
Filed under: Streptomyces sp. 310E06
Lineage: Bacteria; Bacillati; Actinomycetota; Actinomycetes; Kitasatosporales; Streptomycetaceae
Description: bacterial SSU rRNA
Rfam family: Bacterial small subunit ribosomal RNA
Source: RNAcentral